GACUCAUUGGUAGUUUCGAGUCGAGUUAUGAAGGGAUGACAAGGAGAUGCAAAGUAGAAUAAAAGGAAGUACGAAAUAAUGAGAUGCAAAGCCAACAUGAUUGGUAGUUUUGAGGCGAGUAGUGAAAGGAUCAAGAUUGCUGACAUCCUAAAAUCAUUUAAUUGCAGAAAACUAAAGAGCGACAUAGGAAACAAAGGGCACAUUCCUUUUGAGGCAAUUUUCUGUUGUUGUAUACAAUAUUUCUUUCUAGAUGAACUGUUGUUGCUUUCUUUUCUCAAUCAGCAUGAUAUAAUUAAAGUAUUUGGUCUUUUGUAUACUUUUUAUACAGCCAAAUGUACCAUAUCAGCUUUUUUA
Long non-coding RNA from Lycium ferocissimum, 354 nucleotides. RefSeq lists it as uncharacterized. The transcript has 3 exons. The record is from RefSeq and is a predicted model, not a curated record. Lineage: Eukaryota; Viridiplantae; Streptophyta; Magnoliopsida; Solanales; Solanaceae.